RNAcentral lists this ribosomal RNA (507 nucleotides) under Smicrornis brevirostris (Weebill). RNAcentral describes it as "partial 16S ribosomal RNA". It matches the Rfam family "Bacterial large subunit ribosomal RNA", at positions 1860 to 2577 of the family's 2925-position model. Lineage: Eukaryota; Metazoa; Chordata; Aves; Passeriformes; Acanthizidae. The record is from RNAcentral.
UGCCCGGUGACCCAGUUCAACGGCCGCGGUAUCCUAACCGUGCAAAGGUAGCGCAAUCAAUUGUCCCAUAAAUCGAGACCUGUAUGAAUGGCUAAACGAGGUCUUAACUGUCUCUUACAGGCAAUCAGUGAAAUUGAUCUUCCUGUGCAAAAGCAGGAAUGAACCCAUAAGACGAGAAGACCCUGUGGAACUUCAAAAUCGCGGCCACGCCAAAUUACAUACAAACCCACACGGGCUCACACACUUACUAGGCCCCUGGCACGCAUUUUUCGGUUGGGGCGACCUUGGAGAAAAACAAAUCCUCCAAAAACCAGACCAAAACUCUUGACCAAGAGCAACCCCUCAACGUGCUAACAGCAUCCAGACCCAAUAUAAUUGAUCAAUGGACCAAGCUACCCCAGGGAUAACAGCGCAAUCUCCUCCGAGAGUCCGUAUCGACGAGGAGGUUUACGACCUCGAUGUUGGAUCAGGACAUCCUAGUGGUGCAGAGGCUACUAAGGGUUCGUU